UACGGGGGGGGCAAGCGUUGUUCGGAAUUACUGGGCGUAAAGGGCUCGUAGGCGGCCAACUAAGUCGGACGUGAAAUCCCUCGGCUUAACCGGGGAACUGCGUCCGAUACUGGAUGGCUUGAGUUCGGGAGAGGGAUGUGGAAUUCCAGGUGUAGCGGUGAAAUGCGUAGAUAUCUGGAGGAACACCGGUGGCGAAGGCAGAUCUCUGGGCCGUAACUGACGCUGAGGAGCGAAAGCAUGGGGAGCGAACAGG
Molecule: ribosomal RNA, 253 nt
Filed under: uncultured bacterium
Lineage: Bacteria
Description: partial 16S ribosomal RNA
Rfam family: Bacterial small subunit ribosomal RNA
Source: RNAcentral